GCCACUUCUCUCUAACACACUCUCUGUUCCUCUUCCCUUUCUCUCAUUCUCAGUCUCCAUCUUCCAUCGAAACCCUAACUCAGAAGCCCAGGGUUUCUGUAACUUCUCAGUGCCUUCUUAGCCCAUUACCCUUCUUCCUUUCCUUCACCUUUCUUCUUUCUUUCUUCUUUAUCUUCUUUUGAUUUAUCCUCUAUGACUCAGCUCUACAUGAAACCCUAGGUUCUCCUUUUCAGCUCUCCCUCUCUUUUUGAAUCGGAACCCUAGAUGCUUUCUCCUCUACCUUCGAAUGAACCGAGGCUUCAAGUUCGAAUAAUACCCCUUCUUUCCAGCUCUUUUGGUCAUAUCUGAGUAGUAGGGAGGCCUUUGGUGGAACCAAAACCAGUGGAGAGCACCCCGGGGAAGUCUCAAAGGCAAAUUGGCAUGGUGCUUGGGGUGAUCUCUUCAGGAUCCGACGAUGUGCUCAGAUAAGUUUUUUUUGUUUUUUUUGUUUUUCUUUCCAUCCUUCUCCCUUUCCUUUUUUGAUUGUUGAUUGUUUUUUGUGCAAUCUGAUGGGUGUGUGUGAAACUUUAAUGUUGUGAAUGCUGGUUUGGGAUGAUCGGGUAUUGGAUGGUUUGAUACUCUGGGUGAGGGAUUAGGGUCUCUGGUUAGUGUUUUAGGCAGAGGGAAGAAGAUGAGCUAAUCUCGUCUCACCCCGGGUGAGUGAACAAUGUGAGUCAACCCAGCGAGGUCGUGUGAACUCGAUUAGUCCUAAUUCAGACUCAGGGCACGUGCUAGACUCAAGCACGUGUGGGGUUCUUUGUUUGUAAAAAUGGGCUCGACUCGGGUUAAGACUUUUAGAAUGAGGUUGGGCCUGAUUUGAAUUUGAAAAUGGGCUGAGUAAAUUUUGAACUAAACAAGCCCUGUGGCUUUGGAUUUGGAAGUAGGGCCUCGGGGGUUAGACUUUCAAAAUAGGCUGCUGGGUCGAGGUUUAAAUUUCAAACGGGCCCGGGGUGAAAUUUUGGAAAUUAAAAUGGGCUUGAUGUUUUUAAAUGAAUAUGGGCCUCAUUUAAAAGAGAAAUGGGCAGGUUCUUUUAAAUUGGAAAUGGGCGUUUCAGCACUUUUAAAGUUUCAAAUGGGCUUUUGUUUUAACAACUUAACUGGGCCUUGGGUUUAGUUUAGAACUCAGGUGGGUUUGGGUUUUUUAAAAAAGAGAUCAGUGGGCUUUGGGUUAAUUUUAAAACAAGGUUGGGCCAGGGUACUUUUCAAGAUGGGUUUGAAACCAGACUCUGAUUCGGGUUUGGGAAGUCUAAGUCUAGUGGGCUAGUUCGAGGGUCUCGAACCUAAACUAGGAUUCAGGUCUAGGGAAGUGGGCUUGGGUUGGUCUCUACAAUACAAAUUCAAGCACGAACAUGAAAUUUAAUAAGAAUAGUCCCUGCAUUCACAUCCACACACCACUAUUGAAUGAAUUGAAUGAUUAGAGGAGUGAUGGUUUCGAAUUUUUACCUUCUUCCUUUCUCUCCUCCUGUCUUUCUGUGUCUGUUUCGGUCGUCUAGUAUGGUGGCUUGAGCAUGUCUAAAUGCUCUCUGUAGUCUACUUCUCCACUUCUUCCACCUUUGCGUCCUCUGCAAUUUGGUAGAGCUCCUCCGACUUCUAAGUGAGCUUAUGUUCCUCUAUUCUCUGCUUCAGCAGAGUUUCACUCUGCUCUCAGUUCUCACUUGUCAAUUCGUUAGAGUAUCUCUAAUGCUCUCAUACUCUUAAUUUGGCAGGGUGCUUUUGCACUCUCUACAGUGUGCCUUUGCUAUAGCGAGACUCCUUAUUUAUAGGGAGUAUAAGGGUGCUUUUUUGCGCCAAUUAACAGAAAUCCCCUCCACCUGGCAAGAAAUAAUUCCCUCUAACAACUCACAUGUGACUUUUGCAUUUCAUUUCUUAUUAUUUUGGGCUCCAGUUAACUGAUUUUGUGCUUCCUGUGCACAGGUGAACCUGGUGAUCUAGGUGACUUCGAGAGAUCCAAGUGGCAAUGGGAGAAUGGAGGGCUUUGGGACCUUUUACCAGGUGACGAGCCAGGAAUUAAGGCAGGGAACUUUAUCUCACUUUUUGUAGUUUUUAUACAUUUUUGUAUUAUUUUCUGUAUGCUGAUGUAUGUACCCCUGGGUUUUAGUUCCUGCAACAUUUAUUUGUACCAGUAUUUUCAUUUCCCUGUACUUACCUGUUGCUACUUGUAUUUUAUCUGUAACCCUUAUUUCACAUUCCAUGUAUGUUUCCUAUGUGUUUGUACCUCACACGUGCACAUAUGCCCCACUCCACCCUUUUCAUAAUGAAAUGUGACUUUAUUUUUAA
Molecule: long non-coding RNA, 2316 nt
Organism: Malania oleifera
Lineage: Eukaryota; Viridiplantae; Streptophyta; Magnoliopsida; Santalales; Ximeniaceae
Exons: 2
Source: RefSeq, a predicted model, not a curated record